GAAAGUUAUCCUUUAGACUGGCUUGAUUUAGGUCCUGAUAGUCCACACACAUUCAUACCUUCCCAUCCUAUUUAGGGACUGGCACGAUGUUGGCCACCCAUUCAGGAUAUCGAGCCACUGCCAAGAAGCCAGCUUUGAACUGCUUUUUCACUUCCUCUUUGAUUUUUAAGGACAUCUCGGGCUUCAUCCUUUGUAGCAUUUUCUUGACCGGGGAAUACUCGG
RNAcentral lists this long non-coding RNA (222 nucleotides) under Glycine max (soybean). Its description in RNAcentral is "long non-coding RNA (GMAX_LNC003210)". The record is from RNAcentral. Lineage: Eukaryota; Viridiplantae; Streptophyta; Magnoliopsida; Fabales; Fabaceae.